UCGAGUUAGAACUGACCAUAAUAUUUCAAUAAGGUCAAUUCAAAUAUUUCGUGCUAUACUUUUGGCGGUUUUGCGAAUUUAAGAUAUUGUAAUUCGGGGUUCGCUUUUGGUGCAGUAAAGUUACCGCCCUUCCCGACCGACUUGAUGUAUUUUUCUUGUGUUAUUUUUGUUUAUUGUGAAUAAUGUGUGUAAAAACAUAAUCUUUAAAUUGAUUCAUAAUAAAAAUUGCUUUUAUUUUUGUAGAUUGGUUUUUAUGUUCGUUACCUGCAGCGGCUUAGAC
RNAcentral lists this long non-coding RNA (280 nucleotides) under Mytilus galloprovincialis (Mediterranean mussel). Lineage: Eukaryota; Metazoa; Mollusca; Bivalvia; Mytilida; Mytilidae. The record is from RNAcentral.